AUGAAAUGUAUAAUAGGAUGUAUAAACCUGCUAAGAAGAACAUGUACAACAAGAAGUCCUAUUACAAUGUCAGAACUUGUUGUGUUGAACUUUUUCAACAACUGGAACAACAUGUCAAAGAAGAUGUCUUCGACAUCGUGCCUGCUGAGAUGGAUUAACAAGAUUCAGUUUAUUCUUAACAGAGGCAGAAUAUUCGCGAGAAUAUUAUGCAUCCUAUGUGGCGCAUAUUUAAAGGUCUAG
This is a non-coding RNA of Vicia faba (fava bean), 240 nucleotides long. The record is from the annotation of a GenBank genome assembly. Lineage: Eukaryota; Viridiplantae; Streptophyta; Magnoliopsida; Fabales; Fabaceae.